This is a long non-coding RNA of Daphnia magna, 1413 nucleotides long. RefSeq lists it as uncharacterized. Lineage: Eukaryota; Metazoa; Arthropoda; Branchiopoda; Diplostraca; Daphniidae. The record is from RefSeq and is a predicted model, not a curated record. The transcript has 4 exons.
UAUGCAUUUACCCGAGAAAACCAAAAGGUGUGUAAAAAGGAUUAACGUUUUUGUUUAGAUUACUAUUACUGCAGCAGCCCAUUUUUCAAUUAGGAUGAAUUAAGCGUGAUGGAAGUCUUGCAAGAACAUGGUGAUGGAAGACGUAUGAUUGUUGAAUACUUGGCAAGAAACAAAGAAUUUAUUACAAGUGAAGAAAGAAUAAUAAUUAUUCAAAUCUUGUGUGAUCAUUUUGUUAAAACUGAUUCUUUGAAGUAUUUCCCCUCAACAUCUACUCAACACCUUUGGGCUGAAGCCCUAGUGAAGAGUUUUCCAUGCUUAGGGACCAAAGUCACUGACGUCGAAGGGAAAGUUACCAUGAACCAUGACAUAUACUUCCAUCCUAAAGCCAUAGGCUUCAUGAGGACAAAUUACAAGAAAUGCGUAGAAGCAAAGGAGUAAGAAAGAGGAAACAAAACCAAACACCAGAUGUUCCUAAUGAGAAAAAGGCCAGAAUAAAGCAAAAAAAAAUUUAAAUGCCUGUCAAGGGAAGUAAGGUGAUGAUCGAUGAAUCAAUUAUGGUGUCCAUGGUACAAUUUUUCUUUACUUUUAACUGUCAGUCAAUGGAUAAUAUUUUUUGAAAUCUGUGGCUUGGUAUCUUGGCUGAAGGUGCACGGUCCUUCUGUUACAAACAAGACCAAAAUCCAUGACUAUUUGGAGAACACGUUUCAUUUUCCGGGAAAAACAGAUUUCUGAACACUUCACCUGUGCGUCUCAGGUGUUUGAAGAAUAUCCACGCUAUGUGGACUUUGAAGAUGGAUCACUGAUUUUGCACGAUUUCCAUCGUAAAUAUAAAGGGAUGCACUCUGGCCUGGAGACGUGGUUCUUCGGACGAUUCCACUCGUCUUUACUUGGACUAGCCGAAAGGCAAAAAGUAGACGUGCCAAAAUCUACUGACGAAUCCCUCAGAUCAUUAGUUUGUUUCUGAAAGUAAUGCCCAGCGUAUGCAGGGUAAAGAAGGCAGAUUUCUCGUCCAAACUUGGUCGUCUUUUCUACUUCGUCAAGGAAAAUUCUCUCAAUUAAACCAUUGUGGAAUCCAAAGAUGAGAUAUUCCACCAACAGCCAUUCCUGUAUCAAUGGAUCACCCCUUGUCUUUCCAUCUGGUAAUAGACAAAACCGUCAUUCCAGCAAGGGCCUUUCAUGUUCUUUUUGCAACUUUUUUUAUUUUUCGUUUGUAAUAUCCCCAGUACUUAGAUAAGUUUUUUCUUUUUUUUUUGAGCAAUUUGUUUUUCAAAUUGGAAAAAACGGGAUAAACGCUUCCAAUCAGGAAUUUGCUAACUGCCUCGAUAACAUUGCCACAGCCCAGUCCCUCGACGAAAAUAACGUUGUUGCAUCUUGAUCUUUACGUUGUGUUGUGGACACUGUUUCGUAAGUUGU